RNAcentral lists this ribosomal RNA (388 nucleotides) under uncultured bacterium. Its description in RNAcentral is "bacterial SSU rRNA". It matches the Rfam family "Bacterial small subunit ribosomal RNA", at positions 29 to 408 of the family's 1533-position model. The record is from RNAcentral.
AACGAACGCUGGCGGCGCGCUUAACACAUGCAAGUCGAACGAGAAGGCGUAGCAAUACGCUUGUACAGUGGCGAACGGGUGAGUAAUACGUGGGCGACCUACCCUCGAGUGGGGAAUAACCCGCCGAAAGGCGGGCUAAUGCCGCGUACGCUUCCAUCUUUAUGGAGGUGGAAGGAAAGCCGUGCCGUGGGCACGGCGCUCAAGGAUGGGCUCACGUCCUAUCAGCUUGUUGGUAGGGAACGGCCCACCAAGGCUCCGACGGGUAGCUGGUCUGAGAGGACGAUCAGCCACACUGGCACUGCGACACGGGCCAGACUCCUACGGGAGGCAGCAGUGAGGAAUAUUGCGCAAUGGGCGAAAGCCUGACGCAGCGACGCCGCGUGGGGGA